This is a long non-coding RNA of Melozone crissalis (California towhee), 5912 nucleotides long. RefSeq lists it as uncharacterized. The record is from RefSeq and is a predicted model, not a curated record. The transcript is spliced from 4 exons. Lineage: Eukaryota; Metazoa; Chordata; Aves; Passeriformes; Passerellidae.
UGUUUGUAGCCAAAAAUUACUUGUUCUCCACCCCCAUUUCAGCACUGUUAUAUCCACGCUCUUCUACCCCAACUAGCUGAAACAACUCUAAUCACCUAUUUUUACUGUUUGAGUUAGGCAGUGUUCACAGGACUCAUUUUGCCAGAAGAGCUGAAAUGCUUGCAGAAAGGAAAAAGGGAAAGGGAUACAAACUCAGAGCUGCAAAAUAGCAGCUGAACAUGAUAAUAUCAUCAGCUGGCACAGGCGGCUGCACACUGAGCACCUGUCUACAGGCUAAAAUGACUGUUUUGUUUGGGGAUUUGUUUGUUUGUUGGUUGGAGUUUUGGUUUGUUACGCUGCAGGAUCAUUCCUAACUGCUAAUACAAUUAAGAAAGAAACUUCAGAAAAAGAUCACUAAGUCCUGUGGUUUUUAAUUCCCCAUUGGGUUUUAGGAAGAAGUAGUUUGUGGCAAACAAGGAAGACAAACCUGAAUCCUUUGCUGCAUCCUUCCUCCUGUUUAAGAAGAUUUGUGAUUCUACAUCUAAAUCCAAGAACUUUCCACGUGGCCCUGAGGCACCAGCCUGACAAUCCCUGUCAGAUGAUUUAGGGAGGAAGGAGCUAAGCAUCCCCACCUGGAUAUGAUCUGGGGUUUGGGGCAGCACAAACAGUCUUUCUACUGGCUUCUCAGAGGAAUGGCUUCUUUUCCACUGUAUCUGCAGAGGAAGACUACACCCUUCUACAGGAUCCCUGCUCCAACAGAACCAAAUCUGCCACUCUGGGAGGACUGCAGACACCAAUCCAACUGGAGUGCUACCAACACGCUGACCAACAGGGUGUCAGGUUGUAUUCUGACUUUGCUGGUGGUUUUUCUUUUGUAUUAUUGCACAUAUUUUGGUUUUCUUUUCCCUUUUCAUAAUAAAUUGUAUUUCUGACUUGGGGUCUCUCACUGGUUUUGCUUUCAAACCAAACCAGAACACAUGGGCAUUACAGCAGUGCCCCCCACCUCAUCCAGCAGCUUGGUUCUAAAUGAUUAGAGCCUGAAGGACAUGGGGCUAGGCUGCAAACCCUAGCAGGAGACUGCAUUUGUUCCUCCAGAGAGCCACUUGAACUGCUGGAACUUAGGAGCAAGUCACCAAACAGCAACCAAAUAAAGAUCACCUUCUCUUUUCAAUGCCUUGAAAUGAAGCUCUCCAUCAGUGACUCCUCAUCAUCAAGAAAUUUUCAGAGUAACACUCACCCUGUCCCUGACACCUGAAACCUGCACAUCCCUUCAUUUAGAGGAUGCACAAUGCUUUUGUUAAUUAGAGCCUUAGUUUAAUAUGAGCUGUCAAAGUUCACUUAACUUCAAUUAAUUGUUUCUCCUGAGCUUAAUUUCUUUAGUUAAGUAUUGAUUAAUCAUUGCUUAAUUAUGCUGAAGUCUCACUGGGUGAUAUUUCAGUUGCAUACCGCACCAAUGUGCUGCUUUCUAAAAAUACUUAGAGAAUCAUCAGAAAUUUUAUGUAUUGCUAUUAUUGGGAUGUCUUUUAAUAUUUAUCUUUUCCUCCCUUAUGUUCCAAAAUGUAUAUUUAACAUUUUGUGUUCACUUCCACUGAUUUACAACUCAUUUUUCUCUAUGUUGGUAGGUCAUACAACAGAGUCUUGCUCUGCCUGGUGAGGGGAGAAAAGUUUUGCCCCUGGCAUCCAGAGUCUUAUGCCAGGAAGAGUAGGUUAGGGAACACAAGUAAAUGAUCUUUACUGUGGCACAAUAUAAACAACAAAAACAUUGAUGGCAUGGUUUUUUUCUUUGAACAUUUACUUUAAGUGACAUGCAAUGACUUUGGCUCAAAUAUUAUCUGUAUUUCCUCAAAUCCACAAUGCUGGAGCUCUUAUGAAUGUGGCCUUCAGACCAAGGCGCUUCCAAUCUGAAAUCUCAGUCUGUUCUGAAGUAUCAGGAAGAGAAAACUACCUCCACCUCUCUGUAGUAUUUCAACAGCUCUGUAAUGUCAGGUUGGAUAGCAAGUAUCUUAAUUUUCACAGAUAAGUAUAAUAACUAUUACAUUUUUUCCAAGGUCUCUCUUGAAUUUUAAUAUUUACCCAAAUUAGAAGUUAAGUUUGAUCUGUAGUGAGAAAUUAAACAAUUACCUUUUCCCCCACAAUAAUUUCCCUGGAGUCCAUUUAGGCAUUUCAUUUUACCUCCACACAGAAGCAUUUUUUAUUAUUUUUCUAGACAAGAAAGAGUCAUUCCCCAGGGAACACUUCUCGGCUUGACUCGGUUUUAUCACAGUCAAGUUUUAACUUUCUCCCUGUGGUACACAAUCACUUUUUCAGAGAUCUCUCAACCUACUACUACUAAAAUAUAAUUUUGAACGUGUUCUGUGCUGUAGGAGUACUCAGCAUUAUUUACUACUGUCAUUCCAGAAUCUCAAACGAGCACUGGUAGGAAUAUGCUGUAAAGAGAGUAAUCAAAAUGACAUCCUUUUCUACUACCUUUCACCUGCUCAGUGGUGUAAACAUCUGGCACCUUGGGAAUGCACAUCUUUGCUGCGUGAAAGGCAAAAUAAACUGGUGAAUAGACUGAUUGUUACAUAGAUCAUGGAAAACACUUCUGUUCCCUUAUACUGAAUGACACAAUAGACUGAAUUUUCCAGAGAGGAAUGGAUGAAUUAGUCCAGGAUAAAAAAGUACUGACUAAACCCUUGCUCAGAAUUUCAACAAGUGCUAAUCAAAACAUUCCCAGAGUACAAUUAAUCUGUCCUUUGUUAUUCACUUCCUAUCACAACUCUGUGUUUCUGGAUUCUGAUCAAAAGCAGAAACCCCAUUCCUAUAGCACUGCUUGGUUGUAACAAAUUUGUACCAAUAGAUAAUCAAGAAACUGAAAAGCAAGUCUGUUGUCAUGGCUCUCUUUGCAUCUUCAUCUAAACUCUGUCUCCUAGUCCAGGUCAUUACUGAUGCAGGUGCUGAACAAACACACUCCUGCUCUGACAGGCUCACUGGAAAAGAAGAAACAAAGAAUUGGAAAAAGGAAGUUUUACCUUCCCUGGUUUCUGUAAAGGAAACUGCAGCACUGAGACACAACAAGCUGAAUUUCCCAGUGUGAUUUGGAUCCAUAUUCAUUAAAAUGAUAAGUCAUUGAUCUUAAUUACAAUCCCCAGGAUCCUGCCACAUGCAAGUCAAGCUGUUUGUGGAAGUGUAGCAAAAUCAACUUGAUGCACAUCCUCAACUUUCUUAUGCUAAUUCCUAAAGACAAAAACAUUCCCAUUUUGUCAGCUUUCUCGGUGUCAGCCACAAUUUUACAGCUCAGCAUUAUUUAUUUAUAUUGUAACCUACCUAAACAGGCAGAGUCAUCAACCACAGUUGUAUCAGGGGCUUUGCUACCAGGAAACAAAACUUCUAAUCCAGGUGUGAAGAUGAGGCCACAGAGAUGAACAGGCAGUUAAAGUGGGAAUUAUGAGUUUAUCAGGGCAAUCAGCCUGGUCAGAGGGGACCAGAGCUCCUCCAAUCCCCUUCUGCAGACUGAACCCUGCCUGAAUAAUGUUAGGAGAGAUGGCUAAAUCUAUGUGCCUAUGAAUGUUUCAAACAUUCCAGUACUCUCUAAUAAAGGAAUACACACAAGGCUUGCAUGAGCUUUUCCAUCUGUCACAUCCAAAUUGCAAAAUCAAGCACGGCACCAUGCAACUCUAUACCCAGUGAUCUGCUGGAGUUUGCAAGUUUUCUCUCCCGCUACAUUAAUAAUGUGACAUGUCCCCAUUAAAAUAAUAAAUAAAUAAAUUUAAAUGAAGGGAGCCAUGGCUUAUUUCUUUCAGCACACCUUCAAAUGCACAGAAUCCCUGGGUCCCCUGGCUGGGCUGUCACAACCUCCUUUUUGUUAAGGUCUCUUAAACACUUUUUUCAUCCUUCCAGCUCGUCUGAGAAAAGAACAGGAGGACAAAACAUUCUUACAACUGCCUGUGAACCUAUACACUGAGAGUGUCCUGUGGGAAGUCUGCUGUGGAUUUCUGGUCUCUGGGACAUGUGGUCUGUGAGGCUGACUGCAUUCAGGAUACGACACCUUGUAGAGGAAGGGCUGUGAUUUGCUGUAAAAAAUCGUUCAGGCAUAAGAGGAGAGAAAGAAGUUGUAAAAGUUAAAGCAAGAUCCUCAAGAGGCAUCUGCACUGCCAGUGUCUAUGAGUUCAGUGUGUACCCUCUUUUCUCAGCACAUUUGCUUUGGGCAAAACUAUAAUAAUAAUAAUUCAUCAACUGAAGUAGGUAAGUGUUCCUGUUAACAUAUCUAUCCUAAAAUACUUCUGUUAUUAAUAAACAACCAAGUAAAAGCUGCAGGUCACCAUAACUUUAUCAGACUUCUCACCCUAAUAAUCUGUUUCCAUUUUGAGUUACACUGUGCAAUUGACUGCACAGUGCUUUCUUGCUUUUCAAAAAUUUCAGUUUGCUUCCUUGCUUUUCAAAAAACCACAAUUGCUUCAUUUGGAUUUGCUGAUUUUUGAUAACUGAAUUGGCUUUUGUACUGUAAUAAUUUCUCCUUCUAUUUCUCCAUCUUUCACUUUACAGGCGCUGUAGUUUGGUUUUGAAUCCUGCUCUCCUGGUACCAGCAGCAUUUUCACAAGGGCUGAAGCUCUUGUGGCUGUUCUCAUCCAACUUGGUCGAGCAGACUAAAAGGAAAAGAAAUGCAGCUAAAUUCUGAGGGAUCAGGUUCUACCCUUCGAACAUAUUAUGCAACUUUUCAUCCUUUGAGUAGUCUUAUUGAUUUCAGUGGAAGAAUUUGUUAUUGCAGAAUGUGAAUAAGAUGCCAGAAUUUCACCCUAAAUAUUUCACUUUACAAAGGAAGCCAUGAUGCAGAAGAAAACACACCCUGAGCUGCAGCAGGACACAAAAUUUGCAGUUACAAUAAAAGCUGGGAAGCCUUUUUCUUCUUUGUGAUGGUGGCCUCCUAUUGAAAGUGCUUAAUAAACAGAACCAGUUCUGUGUGAAUAAAAUGAAAGAUGUUCAUAAACAAACUGAGAGGCUUCUAAUCCCUACAGCACCACAAAUAAUUCAAAGAAGUCUUGAAGUGCCACGAUAAUGGCACAAGAUGGUUAUCUCUGUAUUAUUGGUUUUGUCUACAUCAAAGAAGGCUCUGUAGGAAAAAAUAAUGUUGCACAAAAAAACCCAAACACAUUUCUUUUUUAAAAAGCAGACAAUUAAAAUUAUCCAGAAGUUAAGGAAAAUAUGAACUAAAAAUAUUUUUUCUUUGAAAGUCUGUAUUACCCUUAAAACAAUUUUAUGGUGGAUAUUGCAGGCUCUGGAUUAACAUAAAUGUCUGAUUGAAAAUCUUUGUAAGGAUGUUAAGAUUAAGUACACAGCUCUUAAGUUCUACAAAUACAAAACUGAUUUCAAAGGAAUCAAGUGAUGAGUAUGGAUGUCCAUGAAACAAAUAUAAUGUAUUCAUAAAGGCUUUUUCCACUAGUCAAGACAUAAAGUGACAACAACUGGACUUGUCACCUGCUUCUAAAAUUGCUUAAAUUAAACACUAUGGGCAACACUGAAAAAGGAAAGAAAGAAUUAUGAGCCAGCUGUACCUGUGGUGUGAUAACAUUGCCUUCAGGAUGGACAAGGCGCUGAGAAGAGCAGGGUAGAAGGGAAGAGAGAGGACAUUGCAGGUCGGCCACUUUUGGAUUUUGAUGGAGUCUGCCUCCUGUAAAGAAUGAAUAAUUCAACCACCCACGCCCCAUAACCAUUGAAAUUACAGCCUCCCUGUUAUUAUAAAGCAAUGUCUCAAAGGAAUAAAUAAAGUUGACAAAAAUAGUCUUCAUAAGGGUUGACACUGAUUAUAUCAGACUGAACACACUCACUCAUGGGGCUCGUCCACCUUUAAAUGUCAUCAUGAGAUGACACCUGUCUAUCCUGCUGUCAUUCUGAACAGAGAAUAAGCCUCUGUUCCCAGUGGCUUCUCUUCCUAACAAGACCAAUUCUAAGUCAUA